UUUUUUAUUCGCUAAGAAAAUGGAUGGAAACCUAAAGAGCAAGAAGAGUUGUCAAUAACAAUGUUUUAAAAACCGGACCGAUCAUCGAACCGGUGAAGGUAUUGAGUCACCGAUUCAUUGGUCGGACCAUUGAGUCACUAGUUGAACCACAUGACUAAAUCGGAUAAAACUGGAAAAGUCGGUUAAAUAAACCUGUCACUAUAACACAACUAUAUUGGCAUUAAAU
RNAcentral lists this long non-coding RNA (226 nucleotides) under Lathyrus oleraceus (garden pea). RNAcentral's name for it is "Pisum sativum (pea) long non-coding RNA (PSAT_LNC000684)". Lineage: Eukaryota; Viridiplantae; Streptophyta; Magnoliopsida; Fabales; Fabaceae. The record is from RNAcentral.